AAUGAACGUUGGCGGCAUGGAUUAGGCAUGCAAGUCGCACGAGAACCCCGCAAGGGGGGACAGUGGCGAAAGGGAGAGUAAUACGUGGGUACCUACCUCAAGGUUCAGGAUAGCGGCGGGAAACUGCCAUUAAUACUGAAUAAUGUCUACGGACCAAAGGUGUGAUUCCACCUUGAGACGGGCCCGCGUCCUAUCAGCUAGUUGGUGGGGUAAUGGCCUACCAAGGCAAUGACGGGUAUGGGGCGUGAGAGCGUGCCCCCACUCACUGGGACUGAGACACUGCCCAGACACCUACGGGAGGCAG
RNAcentral lists this ribosomal RNA (304 nucleotides) under uncultured Planctomycetota bacterium. RNAcentral's name for it is "bacterial SSU rRNA". It matches the Rfam family "Bacterial small subunit ribosomal RNA", at positions 29 to 351 of the family's 1533-position model. Lineage: Bacteria; Pseudomonadati; Planctomycetota. The record is from RNAcentral.